This 429-nucleotide ribosomal RNA is filed under the name Bacillota bacterium. RNAcentral describes it as "Firmicutes bacterium partial 16S ribosomal RNA". It matches the Rfam family "Bacterial small subunit ribosomal RNA", at positions 355 to 776 of the family's 1533-position model. The record is from RNAcentral. Lineage: Bacteria; Bacillati; Bacillota.
UAGGGAAUCUUCGGCAAUGGACGGAAGUCUGACCGAGCAACUCCGCGGGAGUGAAGAAGGUUUUCGGAUCGUAAAGCUCUUUUGUUAGAGAAGAACGUUGGUAGGAGUGGAAAAUCUACCAAGUGACGGUAACUAACCAGAAAGGGACGGCUAACUACGUGCCAGCAGCCGCGGUAAUACGUAGGUCCCGAGCGUUGUCCGGAUUUAUUGGGCGUAAAGCGAGCGCAGGCGGUUCUUUAAGUCUGAAGUUAAAGGCCGUGGCUUAACCAUUGUACGCUUUGGAAACUGGAGGAGUUGAAUGAAGAGAGUGAGAGUGGAAUUCCAUGUGUAGAGUUGAAAUGCGUAGUUAUAGGGAGGAACACCGGUGGCGAAAGGGGAUCUCUGGUCUGUUGAUGACGCUAAGGCUCGAAAGCGUGGGGAGCAAACAGG